AAACAUGCCUCAACAGUCACCUCCCUACCACUAGGCACCAGCCACCCAAAAUGCUUUUUCCUGCUACACUUUGUACCACCAUCACCGUAGAAGACAGAGCCACCACAUACCUGCUUAAUAAAUUAAAAAUAAAGCAAGCCCUUGGCUUUGGGGACUGCAAGUGUGCAGGCUUGCUCGCAACUCUCAAAGCAAAGCUGUAUUUUGUAUAGUGCAAAAAGAAUUCCUCCUCUCUUUAUUACUCACCUCUUUCCCCUAAAACCCACAUGCUUUCCUAUUCUCUUAAUAAUAGUAAUCACAACCACCACCUCCUUCUCCACCGGCAGCAGCAGCAGCUGCAGCAGCAGAAGAGCUGUCUCCCUCUUUCUUGUUCAGAUUUUUAUCAAUCUUGAAAAGCUUGUCUCCUCUCCUCAAGUUCAAGAGUUGCUAUAAUAUUGAUUUCUAGUGAUUCAAGAAGUAAGCUAGAAACAGAAGAAGAUGAUCACAAUAACAGACUUUUACCAUGUAAUGACUGCAAUGGUGCCACUGUACGUGGCCAUGAUCUUGGCUUAUGGGUCAGUGAAAUGGUGGAAGAUAUUCACACCAGAGCAAUGUUCAGGGAUCAACAGAUUUGUUGCUGUUUUUGCAGUCCCAGUUUUAUCUUUCCACUUCAUCUCUCAAAAUAAUCCAUACCAAAUGGAAACCAAGUUCAUACUAGCUGAUACUCUUUCUAAGGUCAUAGUCCUUGUUAUUCUCUCAGUUUGGGCCAUUUUCUUUAAUGGAGGAUUGGAUUGGCUUAUCACUCUCUUCUCAGUUGCAACUUUGCCUAACACCCUUGUCAUGGGAAUUCCUUUGCUCAUGGCCAUGUAUGGAGAUUUCACUCAAAGCCUCAUGGUGCAAGUGGUUGUUCUUCAGUGCAUCAUAUGGUACACUCUUUUGCUCUUCCUCUUCGAGUACAGAGCAGCAACCCUCUUAAUCAAAACCCAGUUCCCAGGACCCGCAGCAGCCUCCAUUUCCAAAAUCGAACUCGACAAUGACGUCAUCUCCCUCGACGGCCGAGACCCACUCCGCACUGAAUCUGAAACCGACGGCAAUGGCCGAAUCCGAGUUCGCAUCCGCAGGUCCACUUCCUCUGCCCCGGACUCUGCCCUAUCAUCCUCCAUCUGCCUCACUCCUAGACCUUCAAACCUCUCCAACGCGGAAAUCUUUUCUGUGAACACCCCUGCACCAUUUUACGAGUACACUAUCAAUCCUAAUACCAAUAAUGGUUACACUCAUUAUAAUCAUGGACCAAACAACGAGAUAAUAAUAUGUAAUGGAGACUUGGGUUUCGGGUAUCGGUCCGGAACGAGUCCCAGAUUAUCUGGAUACGCAUCGUCGGAUGCUUACUCGCUGCAGCCGACGCCAAGGGCGUCGAAUUUUAACGAGCUGGACGUGACGAACGCCGCAGGUACACCAUACUGGGUCAGGUCUCCGGUAGCCGGUAAAUUUUUCAGGCAGCCUUCCCCGGCGGUUCCCGAGGUCAGGAUGGCGUGGGGAGAGUCUCCAGGAAAGGGUCAAAACUGCGGAGCCGGCGGUGUCAAAGAUAUUAAAGAAAAGGAAAUUAGCUUCAGAGACAGUUCCAAAACGGUGGCGCCUGAGGAGACAAAUUCAAAAGAAGCAGCAGCAACUAGCCAAGAAAUGCCUCGUGCCUUUGUGAUGCUGAAACUCAUACUCAUUGUAGUAGGAAGGAAGCUCUCUCGGAACCCAAAUACAUACUCUAGCGUCCUUGGCCUUCUCUGGUCUUUAAUCUCAUUCAAAUGGAAUGUGGGAAUGCCCAGCCUGGUUAAAUACUCUAUCAAAAUCAUUUCAGAUGCAGGACUUGGAAUGGCCAUGUUCAGUUUAGGUACGUAUAUAUAAAUUUUGUAUUCCUUUUACUAUUUUCUUCCUAUUCAGGAGUUUGAGUUCUAUUUAUAUAGACUGAAAUUAAUGUUAUCUUUAUUUUGUAUUUCAUAACCUUGUUCACCCGAACUUUAGUUCAAUGGUAUUUGAGUUAUAAACUGUGAAGUUCAGAGUCUCAAUCAAAGCUAAUUAUAUCCAAAAAUUGUUAACCAUAAUGAGAAAUGAGACCAAUCACAUGUAUCACUAAACAUAAGAGAGUGACGUGACAAAAACAUUACAGAGUAGUAACAUUAAUAGUUAUCAUGUUACUAACCCAUGAACGUCAAGCCCAAAAUUAGUUUAUCAACUUGGAAAUAAUAAUUUUCCUGUUAAAACCACAAUGAAAAUGACAUAUAUCCGUAGAAAUGCAGGCUUGUUCAUGGCCCUUCAACCUCGAAUAAUUGCAUGUGGCAAGAAAAAGGCGACAAUGGGAAUGGCGAUCCGAUUUAUUUGCGGUCCCAUAGUGAUGUCAGCCGCUUCUGUUGCCGUUGGUCUAAGAGGAGUCCGGCUACGCGCUGCUAUAGUUCAGGCAGCUCUUCCACAAGGGAUUGUACCGUUUGUGUUUGCAAGGGAAUAUGGAUUACAUCCUGACAUUUUAAGCACAGGGGUCAUUUUUGGGAUGCUAGUUUCUUUACCGGUAACGCUGCUCUAUUACAUAUGCCUAGGACUAUGAGGAGAAAAGGAAAGCUGGGUCAUCAUCAGUAAAAGAAUAUGAAGAAUCCAAAGCAUUAGUUCAUCCAUGGCAUUUGUCCCUACCUUGGUUGGGUGGAUGAUCCAGCCAUUAUAUAGCCUUCCAUUAGCGAGAUGAGUGGAGUUUUAUUUAAUUAUUGUAAACGUUUCUGUGCAGAUUGACUAGAAAAAGGGCUGGAGGUCCAAAAAAAAAAAGCCUAAAAACAUGGUGAGAUUAAUUAGAAAAUGUGACAAGAUGAUCAUAUUAGGUUAUUUAUAUAUGGUGAGGAUUAAUGUGCUAAUUGCCCUAAUACAUAGGCUAGUGGUAACCGAAAGGAAAAUGGAAAUUAUCAUGAGUUAUGAUGAAGGUGGGAGCUAGACUUGACUUGCUUUCAUGUUAGGAGGCGGGUAAAGUUGCUGCAUAUCUAAGAAUGUUUGACUCAACUAAAGAAUUUUCCUACUAUUAUAUAUGAAAAUUUAUAAGAGAGAAAGAGAGGCAAAUUUAUUGUAUAAUUUCUACUAUUGUAUAUUUCUACUUUGUUUUGGUGUCUUUUGAUGCUUUUAACAACCAUAACAAAACAGUUCUUGCUUCUAUAAAUCUUGGCCAUUUCAAGGGAAUUUGUUUAAUAUAUGAUGGCUUAGAAUUGAAGUCUUAUAGACAGGUUAAAAAGUUUGAUUUACUUUCUUGUUGCCAAUAUCUUAAAAGUAAGGAUGCAAUUGAAUUUCUAAGGGCUAAAGAAAGCUCACAUCCAAAAAGUUGUCCUAUCAAGAGGCUAAAGCAGUCUUGAAACAUUAUUAUUCAUUUUGUUAUUUCUCUGAAAAUGCUAGUAUAUGUAUAUACUUCCAAACCUAAUCCAUUUAAUUGGGAAUCUUUCAGACUACCAUGUUGGACUGUCAUAUUUAGAUAAGAUAUCAUCAUCUACCCAUGUAAAGUCAAAAACAUGCAAUGAUCGAAGACAUGCAGGCGGCCGUCUGUAUGCUAU
RNAcentral lists this unclassified non-coding RNA (3548 nucleotides) under Hevea brasiliensis (rubber tree). The record is from RNAcentral. Lineage: Eukaryota; Viridiplantae; Streptophyta; Magnoliopsida; Malpighiales; Euphorbiaceae.